Pelobates cultripes (western spadefoot toad) is the source of this 338-nucleotide non-coding RNA. NCBI's taxonomy places the organism in Eukaryota, Metazoa, Chordata, Amphibia, Anura, Pelobatidae. The record is from the annotation of a GenBank genome assembly.
GGAUUCUAGGUAGAUGCAAUGCCAGACUAAAACUUCAGGCAAAAGUAGCAAGCUCCAAAUAGAUGUGUAAAAAUGUGCAUCUGGAGUAAGUGUGCUUUUGAAAGACAACAAAUAUCAUACCAGCUUUAGGAAUACUUGUUAGAGUGUACAAAACUUUCUGGAUUGUUUUAGAGUGUACAAAACUUUCUCGGAUGAGGACCGAGCAUUGAUGUCUAUUACAUUACUCUGGAUUUUGCAUUGUUAUUUCCCACUGAUGUAGAACAUUGGUGGCCGCCAUUGUAAAAGAAAAAAACGCACAUCUCUUGUAUUCUCUUCCCUUUCAUUAACGAACCUGUAAC